This 448-nucleotide ribosomal RNA is filed under the name uncultured bacterium. RNAcentral's name for it is "bacterial SSU rRNA". It matches the Rfam family "Bacterial small subunit ribosomal RNA", at positions 28 to 481 of the family's 1533-position model. The record is from RNAcentral.
GACGAACGCUGGCGGCGUGCUUAACACAUGCAAGUCGAGCGGUAAGGCCCUUUCGGGGGUACACGAGCGGCGAACGGGUGAGUAACACGUGGGUGACCUGCCCUCAGCUCUGGGAUAAGCCUGGGAAACUGGGUCUAAUACUGGAUAUGACUCCACGGUGCAUGUCGUGGGGUGGAAAGCCUUGUGCGGCUGAGGAUGGGCCCGCGGCCUAUCAGCUUGUUGGUGGGGNGAUGGCCUACCAAGGCGACGACGGGUAGCCGGCCUGAGAGGGCGACCGGCCACACUGGGACUGAGACACGGCCCAGACUCCUACGGGAGGCAGCAGUGGGGAAUCUUCCACAAUGGACGAAAGUCUGAUGGAGCAAUGCCGCGUGAGUGAAGAAGGUUUUCGAUACGUAAACUCUGUUGUGGAGGGAAGAACAAGUACGAGAGUAACUGCUCGUACCUU